RNAcentral lists this non-coding RNA (28 nucleotides) under Rattus norvegicus (Norway rat). Lineage: Eukaryota; Metazoa; Chordata; Mammalia; Rodentia; Muridae. The record is from RNAcentral.
GAAUCAAGCCCAGUUUAAUGGUGAGGUU